RNAcentral lists this ribosomal RNA (458 nucleotides) under uncultured bacterium. RNAcentral's name for it is "partial 16S ribosomal RNA". It matches the Rfam family "Bacterial small subunit ribosomal RNA", at positions 338 to 795 of the family's 1533-position model. The record is from RNAcentral.
CCUACGGGGGGCUGCAGUGAGGAAUAUUGGUCAAUGGGCGAGAGCCUGAACCAGCCAAGUCGCGUGAGGGAGUACUGCCCUAUGGGUUGUAAACCUCUUUUGUCGGGGAGCAAAAGCCGGACGUGUCCGGCUGUGAGAGUACCCGAAGAAAAAGCAUCGGCUAACUCCGUGCCAGCAGCCGCGGUAAUACGGAGGAUGCGAGCGUUAUCCGGAUUUAUUGGGGUUAAAGGGUGCGCAGGCGGAUUUUUAAGUCAGCGGUCAAAUCGUGGGGCUCAACCCCAUCCAGCCGUUGAAACUGGGGAUCUAGAGUGUGCGAGAGGUAUGCGGAAUGCGUUGUGGAGCGGGGAAAUGCAUAGAUAUCACGCAGAACCCCGAUUGCGAAGGCAGCAUACCGGUGCACAACUGACGCUCAGGCACGAAAGCGUGGGUAUCGAACAGGAUUAGAUACCCGAGUAGUC